UACAGAGGUCCCAAGCGUUGUUCGGAUUCACUGGGCGUAAAGGGUGCGCAGGUGGGUUUGCAAGUUCGAUGUGAAAGCCCCGGGCUUAACCCGGGAAUGGCAUUGGAUACUGCAGAUCUGGAGGAUCGGAGGGGGGACUGGAAUUCUUGGUGUAGCAGUGAAAUUCGUAGAUAUCGGGAGGAACACCAGUGGCGAAGGCGGCUCUCUGGGCAGAUACCGACGCUGAGACGCGAAAGCGUGGGGAGCAAACAGG
Molecule: ribosomal RNA, 253 nt
Filed under: uncultured bacterium
Lineage: Bacteria
Description: partial 16S ribosomal RNA
Rfam family: Bacterial small subunit ribosomal RNA
Source: RNAcentral